RNAcentral lists this microRNA (22 nucleotides) under Drosophila mojavensis. The record is from RNAcentral. Lineage: Eukaryota; Metazoa; Arthropoda; Insecta; Diptera; Drosophilidae.
GGCGAUUGUCGGUAUGGUCUCU